GCCACGCCCGCUACAAGAAACUUAAAGGAAGUUCGACGGGCCCCGCACAAGCAGCGGAGCGUGUGGUUUAAUUCGAUGCUACACGAAGAACCUUACCAGGGUUUGACAUACAAGUAGUAGGGAAAGGAAACUGGACCGACCCUUCGGGGAGCUUGAACAGGUGCUGCAUGGCUGUCGUCAGCUCGUGUCGUGAGAUGUUCGGUUAAGUCCGCUAACGAGCGCAACCCUCGCUGUGUGUUACAAGUGUCACACGGAACUGCCGGUCAUAAACCGGAGGAAGGUGGGGAUGACGUCAAGUCAGCAUGGCCUUUAUAUCCUGGGCUACACACACGCUACAAUGGGAAGGGACAAUAGGUUGCGAAACCGCGAGGUGGAGCCAAUCCAGCAAAACUUCCCUCAGUUCAGAUUGCAGGCUGCAACUCGCCUGCAUGAAGUUGGAGUUGCUAGUAAACGCAGGUCAGCCAUACUGCGUUGAAUACGUUCCCGGGGCUU
Molecule: ribosomal RNA, 492 nt
Filed under: uncultured Anaerolineaceae bacterium
Lineage: Bacteria; Bacillati; Chloroflexota; Anaerolineae; Anaerolineales; Anaerolineaceae
Description: bacterial SSU rRNA
Rfam family: Bacterial small subunit ribosomal RNA
Source: RNAcentral